Molecule: long non-coding RNA, 6266 nt
Filed under: Gossypium barbadense (sea-island cotton)
Lineage: Eukaryota; Viridiplantae; Streptophyta; Magnoliopsida; Malvales; Malvaceae
Description: long non-coding RNA (GBAR_LNC017471)
Source: RNAcentral
UGAAACUGAAACAGCUGUUUGGUUAUAAAAAGGGUAAAGUUCAUUUCUAAUGCUACAACUCGGUGUCAACACUCUUCCCCCUUGUUUCCCAUCGCAACAAUUAGGCAAAUCAGCAAUAGCUCCUCUCAAACACGUAUUACAAUCCGAGGUUGUCAGGUCGGGUGUACACUGUAAAAGACUAUACAAUGUUUGAAACCCUGAAACAUUAGCUUCACUGGUCGCAAACUUCUUCAACGGCAACGUAUCAUUCAAAGCCAAGGCGGCUCCGUCGUUCAUCGUGGUGGCCAAUAUCUGGUUGAACCGUUCUUGGUUCGAUACAUUCAAAACUUCGGUACCAUCGCCGGAGUUGAAAAGAUUGAUUGGUUGGAGUAAUGAAUAAGGCAAUUAUCGUACCAAAUGACGGCGGUUUUCUCGACGGGGCAACGUUGAAUGACGUCUUUAGUAGCUGUUGAAACACAAUCUUGACACCCUUUGGUUGAAACAUCGCCUCUGCAAAGAAAUAAACCGUAGACGAUGUCGGAGUUGUGUUUUCCGGUGGUUGUGUUGUGGAAAAAACUACCGGCGGUGGCGUUGGAAGUAAGGGAAAUGAGCAAGUGGUCGAGAUUGGUUUUGUAAGUGCUGUUUGGUGAGAAAAUGGUGGUGUUUGGACAGUAAUGAAGGAGAUAAGUUUGUUGUUGAGCUUCAAUGGUGAAGCUAAACAAGGACAGUAACAAGAAGAAGAAGAAGAAGAACAGAGACAUGUUUCUUUAAGCUAAGGCGGUAAGUGAAGGCUGUUUUAUCGGUGUCGGAAUGAACCUGAAAAAAGCAAGUGGUCGUAUAAGUCAAGAUGAGUUAUUAUAGCCAAGUUUACUUAAAAUUCGAUGGAAAACUAUUUCUUAUAUAUUAAAUUGAUAUUUUUUAAAAUAUUUAUUUAUAUACAUGGUUAAAAAUUAGCAUAAUUGAUAGAAUAUCCAGAUAAUGAUACGUGGUAUGUCAUGUAUAUCUCAAGGUUAAAAAAUUUAUUUACUUUUACUAUUAAAAACUGGUCAUUGUAUAUUAGCAUGAGGUAAUGUCAUUGUCUGGUUAUUUCCACUAGUCACGUUAGCUUUUAACAAUAAAAAUAUAUGCAAUUUCUAAUAAAAGGAUCAAUUUGUUUUUUUAUCUAACAUAUAGGGGCUCAUUUGUUCAUUUUUUGUGUAAAGGGAAAAAAUGCAAUAUGAAUCAUAAUAUAGGGUUUCCAUAGUACUUUUACCAAAUAAGUGAAGGCUCUUUGGGUGUUGGUCCCGUUUGAGGACUUAUUAUUGGGUUAAAUUCUGCUAUUAAUCUCUAUUCUUUAUAAAAAUUAUGAUUUAAUCCCUAUACCUUAAUUUGAUAUUUUUAGUCUUGUACUUUUUUAAAUUUUAAAAUUUCAAUCAUCAUUAAAUAAUAAUUGUUAAAUUUAUUAAAGUUAUGUUAUUCUCAGAAUCUGAUACGGUAAACAUAUUAUCAUAUGUGUAAUAUCAUGUUAGCUUAUUAUUUCUACAUAAAUGGAUUAACGGCUGCUAUUUGUGUCAAAAUUGAAAUUUUAAAAUUUUGAGAAGUAUAAGUACUUAGAAUGAUUUAGUAGGAGAAUAUGGGCUAAAUUUAUAACUGUUCAUAUAGUACAAGAUUAAUAAUUGAAGUUAUCCAAACGAAUUUACCGAUUUAAAAAAUAUAAAAACUAAAUCUAUAAUUUUCACAAAAUAUAAGGACUAAUAACAUAAUUUAAACUGAACUAGAAAAAGCAAGUCGUCGUAGUCAACAAAAGUUAUAAAGGCAUUUAAUUUUUAAUUGAUGAAUGGGUGAUGGCAGUUGGUAAGGAGAUAAUGAUCAAAGUACUCUGUUCACAUUCAUGGUGCCUUAAAAGAUGCAGCCCUACACACUGACGUUUCAGUUGAGAAUCGAUCGGAAGUACUAGUUUGGAGAAAGAUUUUAGAUUGAUUGAGUCGUGAAUUGGUAUAAAUUAAUUAAAUUGAAUUAAAAAAAUUGAUUAAAUCGGUUUUCUAUAUAAUUUUUUUUUCAAAUUAUGAACUAUUUAUGUAAUUGAAUUAUUUGGACAAGUCGGAUAGGUAAAUUGAUAAUCUGACCGGUUCGACUGUCAGUUUGGUUCUGAAAAUUUUGGUUUAUACUAUGUAUCGAUGGAAAAAAAUCUAUAAUGUAAGAUUUUUUUAUAGGAUUAAUAUAUCAUUUGGUACCCAAGUUUAGUUUCAAUGUUCAAUUUGUUAUUUGAGUUUUUUUUUUUUUUUGUCUUCCUAUAUACACUAAGUUUCUUUAAUAUUACACUUUCCAAUAUCUACCAAUAAUUUGACAUUACAAUUAAAAAAAAGGUCCACUACACCACUAGUUGUACCAUUUUCUAAUAAUAAAAUCAUCAUAAUUUUUUGAAAAUUUUAAUACGAGAAAAAUGAUCUAUUUGUUGAUAAGUAUUAGGUCAAUUGACAUCAUUGUUAUUAUAACAAUUUAAACUCGAGGGAUAAAUGUCAGGUUUUCACAUGACAAACUAUUCGUAAAGAGAUUUUAUAAGCCCUUUAUUGACUAAGAUAAUAUUUAGUUAAAAAUAACGAUGAGAUUUUACAUGCUUAGAUAAGAUGGAUUUAAUGUUAAAAUUCGAAUUUUAAAUUAUAUCGGGAUUUGAUCAAAUAUCGUGUUUUUCUAUCAUUAUAGGAUAAGCUCGAUGAUAGACUAAAUAAAAGUUGUGAAGAGAUUAUUUAAUAAAUUUAGACAAGGUGACGAAGUUAAUGGCAACUAACUCAAGCCUCGACCAUUUUCUAUUUGGUACUAAUAUUUUCUUUAUUUUCAUUUCAGUCCUUGAGAAUUCAGUCACAACCAAAUUGUAAUUGUUUUUGUUCAUAUUACUUCAUGAAUUCAUAGAUGCGAACAAACAUUCACGAAUAGAUUGGGACGCAAGGUACAAAAUCAUAACAUGAAUAGCUCGAGGCAUACUUUACCUUCACGAAGAUUCUCGAUAUUUAAUUAUUCAUCGAAAUCUAAAGGCUUCGAAUAUUCUGUUAGAUGAAGAAAUGCAUCCGAAAAUUUUCGAUUUCGGAAUGACAUGGUUGUUCGAAGCCAACCAGAAUACGUAUAUAUACACAUAUAUAUGUUGAAAACUUGGAUACAUAACCGAAUGAUAAUUCAAGUAUCGAAAUUAAAUAAAAAAAAGUUUAUAUAUAUCGAAAGAGAAAAUGGGUAUAAUUUUAAAACAAAUAUAUUAUUAUAUUUAGACCAAAAAUUGGCAGAUAAAUAGAUUAUAUCUACCUUAAGAUUGCAUCAAAUAACACAGCAUCAUCGAGGAUCUAACUCAGUAAUCGAUACUUCAUUGAUCGACCAUGGCGUUGAUCGACUGGUCGAUUGAUCGGAUUCAAGCCCCACGUUUGGCAUCUUUCCCUCGGUUCUCGAGUUACGAAAAAAUGCAGGUUCGUUAGGUACUGGAAGUGUUACAGAGUAACUGUUGAGCAUCAUAGCAAUGGUAGCCAUUGUUGGCCUUUCAGCUGGAUCUUCUUGAACACAUAGUAACCCGAUUUGAAUGCAUCGAAUGACUUCGUUUCUCGAGUAAUUAUCUUUCAAGACAGUGUCCAACAAUUCCAAUGGUGUCCCAUUCUUCCAUUGUUUCCAAGCCUGCAAAUCGUUCAUCGAGUAAUUAUAAAUAGAUAAUCGAAAUAACAAAGGCGAAAAACGAAUAUACUCACGUAGCUAAUUAGGUCAUCGGCGGCAUCCGUUCGGUAGAAAUUACUGUUCCUUUUGCCAUUUACAAUCUCCAAAACCAAAACACCGAAACUAAAAACAUCCGAUUUCACGGAAAAUUGUCCAUGCAUUGCGUAUUCUGGUGACAUGUAGCCACUGCAGAUCAAUCAAUGUUAGUACGAUGCCAACAACUGUACAGAUAUCAUGGACGCUCUUGUACUAGGUGUAAAAAAAUAUCAAAGAGUAAACUGGUCUCUUCUAUUAAAAUUUCAUUCAUUUCUACGGUUAAAAGCUGACAUAAUUGAUAGAAUAACCAAAUAAUGAUUUGUUGUGUGUCGUGUAACUCAUGUCAACGUAUAGGGACCAAUUUUUAACAAAACGACUAAUUUACUCUUUGAUCUAAUGUAUAAUGAUUAACUUAAACUAAAUUUUAACAAAAUGCAAUUGAACUCCUAUUAUAAAGACCUCCAUGAUAUUUUUUUCUAGUUAACAACUUUCAAAGAAAUCCUAUAUAACAUGUUACGUUUACUUACUAGGUACCAACUACUCUUUUUGUAGUUCCUUGAGUUUGAUCCACACCAAAAAUCCUCGCCAUCCCGAAAUCUGAAAUUUUCGGGUUCAUGUCACUGUCUAGUAAUAUAUUGCUCACUUUAAGAUCACGGUGUAUGAUUUUAAGUCGAGAAUCUUCGUGUAGAUAAAGCAUUCCUCGAGCAACUCCUACUAUGAUCUUGUAUCGUGUAGACCAAUCCAAUUGUGCUUGUUUCUCAGGAUCUAAAUGAAGAAAAAUAAGCAUUCUUGUUCACACUCUGGGUAAUCUAUGAAAUCAAAUUCAAAAUCCCAAAUUUUUCUUACCAAAAAGAAAGCAAUCCAAGCUCUUGUUAGGGACAAAUUCAUAAAUUAGUAUCUUUUCUUCUCUUUCCAAGCAAAAUCCCAAUAGUCGCACUAGAUUUCUAUGUUGAAGCUUGGCAACUAAUACAGCUUCAUUUUUAAAUUCUUCAAUACCUUGCCCUGAACUUCUUGAUAGCCUUUUAACAGCUAUUUCUUGUCCACUAGGAAGGGUGCCCUGAGAAAAUGUACAAUAAUAACUCAUUGCGAGGCAGAAUUCAAUAGUUUCAGAUUUGAAUUUCAACAUUUGCAAUGCUUUCCGAACAAAAAAGAUGUAAUGAUAAACGGUUUUUAAUAAGAAUGCUGACUAGAACAUUAAAUUUUUAACGAUGAUGGCAUGACAAUCUCUGCAUGAUAAUGUAUGUAUAUUUCAUGCCGAUACGGCACCAUUAAAAAGAAUAUAUUAGAUAGUUCAAGAAAGUUUCAAAAAAUAGCAUGAAAUACACGUGGAUUUUCAUAUAAGCUUAGCUGUAUUUCCAUUAAAAAAACAAAAACAAAAACUAAAUUGACAAAAGAUAUAAACGUUAAGAUAUACCUUGUAUACUUCGCCGAAACCACCUUCACCUAGCUUGUUGCUAUAUGAGAAGUUGUUUGUGGCAACUUCUAUAGUGCUAAAAUCAUAUUGCAAGGUCUCAAUUGCGGAUAUAUCAUCUUUUGCUGUUCAACCCAAUACAAAAAAGGAAGUCAUAUUUCCAAUGAAAAAUCAUCAAAUAAGAGGGUUUAUUUGAAAAAAAAUUUUAAAUCAGGAGAUUAUUUAAUAAAAUUCAAACCCUAAAUAAUGCAUUAACCUUUAUAUAAACACAAAAAUUAUAGGGUCAUAACACCCUCAAAACAAAGAUUUCUAAUGCUCAAAAAAAGAAUCUAUCUUACCAUUUUCUUCUUCUACAGCUUUGUACUUCUUCCUUGCUCUCCUUUUUAGUAAACAACAACACAAGAACAAGAGAAGAACAGAGACAGCAAUUGGAGCAAUAAUUGCAAUAAUUAUUGGCAAUGUGUUCUUGCUUUUUCCUGCACAGCCAACAUUUACUUUUGAGUACGUUAAGAUGUGACAAAAGUUUAUAAAAGUAUUAGAGCUUUGUAUUAAAAGUCGGAUUGUAUUUGGUUCUUUUUAACUUAAAAAAUUAGAGGAUUAUUUUUUUCUCUGUAGAUCAAAGAGUAAAUUGAUUAUUUCUAUUAAACAUUUUAUUAAAUUUUACUAAUUUUAAGAGUAAAAAUAGGUGAAAUUGUUGAAAAAAGGAUAAUUUUCUCUUUAAUUUUGGAAUGCAAUCGAGCUUCCAUGAGUAAAUUUAUGGUAAAAUUUCACUUUAAUUUGCCAAAAAUGAAAAAAAAACCAAACCAGAAAGUAUGACUGAACCUGGAGUUAUUGCAGGAGGAGGAGUUAAUGGAGGUGGUGGAGCUGAAACUGAAACAGCUGUUUGGUUAUAAAAAGGGUAAAGUUCAUAUCUAAUGCUACAACUCGGUGUCAACACUCUUCCCCCUUGUUUCCCAUCGCAACAAUUAGGCAAAUCAGCAAUAGCUCCUCUCAAACACGUAUUACAAUCCGAGGUUGUCAGGUCGGGUGUACACUGUAAAAGACUAUACAAUGUUUGAAACCUUGAAACAUUAGCUUCACUGGUCGCAAACUUCUUCAACGGCAACGUAUCAUUCAAAGCCAAGGCGGCUCCGUCGUUCAUCGUGGUGGCCAAUAUCUGGUUGAACCGUUC